RNAcentral lists this ribosomal RNA (435 nucleotides) under uncultured bacterium. RNAcentral's name for it is "partial 16S ribosomal RNA". It matches the Rfam family "Bacterial small subunit ribosomal RNA", at positions 29 to 507 of the family's 1533-position model. The record is from RNAcentral.
AGCGAACGCUGGCGGCAGGCUUAACACAUGCAAGUCGAGCGGGCACUUUCGGGUGUCAGCGGCGGACGGGUGAGUAACGCGUGGGAACGUGCCUUCUGGUUCGGAAUAACUCAGGGAAACUUGAGCUAAUACCGGAUACGCCCUUUUGGGGAAAGGUUUACUGCCGGAAGAUCGGCCCGCGUCUGAUUAGCUAGUUGGUGGGGUAAUGGCCUACCAAGGCGACGAUCAGUAGCUGGUCUGAGAGGAUGAUCAGCCACACUGGGACUGAGACACGGCCCAGACUCCUACGGGAGGCAGCAGUGGGGAAUAUUGGACAAUGGGCGCAAGCCUGAUCCAGCCAUGCCGCGUGAGUGAUGAAGGCCUUAGGGUUGUAAAGCUCUUUUAUCCGGGACGAUAAUGACGGUACCGGAGGAAUAAGCCCCGGCUAACUUCGUG